This 163-nucleotide ribosomal RNA is filed under the name Tiquilia greggii. Its description in RNAcentral is "5.8S ribosomal RNA". It matches the Rfam family "5.8S ribosomal RNA". Rfam says of the family: 5.8S ribosomal RNA (5.8S rRNA) is a component of the large subunit of the eukaryotic ribosome. It is transcribed by RNA polymerase I as part of the 45S precursor that also contains 18S and 28S rRNA. Functionally, it is thought that 5.8S rRNA may be involved in ribosome translocation. Lineage: Eukaryota; Viridiplantae; Streptophyta; Magnoliopsida; Boraginales; Ehretiaceae. The record is from RNAcentral.
CAACGACUCUCGGCAACGGAUAUCUCGGCUCUCGCAUCGAUGAAGAACGUAGCGAAAUGCGAUACUUGGUGUGAAUUGCAGAAUCCCGUGAACCAUCGAGUCUUUGAACGCAAGUUGCGCCCGAAGCCGUCUGGCCGAGGGCACGUCUGCCUGGGCGUCACGC